RNAcentral lists this ribosomal RNA (131 nucleotides) under uncultured bacterium. Its description in RNAcentral is "partial 16S ribosomal RNA". It matches the Rfam family "Bacterial small subunit ribosomal RNA", at positions 917 to 1045 of the family's 1533-position model. The record is from RNAcentral.
GGGCCCGCACAAGCGGUGGAGCAUGUGGUUUAAUUCGAAGCAACGCGCAGAACCUUACCAGCUUUUGACAUGUCCUGGACGGAUUGUGGAGACACGAUCUUCUCUUCGGAGCCGGGAACACAGGUGCUGCA